CUAAGGAGCACGUGCAAGCCGUCUGUAUACAGCGGAACCACUUGCCAGCUGUACUGAAGCGAACGCUUCAGACAGCGCUCAUGGGUGGAACAUUGACAUAGCAUUCGAGUCGAAUCUCGAGAACCAAGUACAUCUCUUCGGAGAACGGAACGGUUCGGAAGAGGGAACUCGGAUGGUGCACGCUGUUGGGUCCUGAGGGACCGGGCCGGCGGUCGAAAGACCGCCGAUUUGCCUCUCUGGACUUCGACUGUUCCGGCCAGCGGCCUGGGCAGCGGAGUACCGCCCGUAUUUUGAGAACUACACAGUGGACGCGAGCAUCUUAGAUUCGGGGCCUUCGGGUCCCGUGAUCUACAAGAUGAUCAAAUAGGAGGCUCCUUCGGGAGUCUUCCGAUAGAUCAUUGGUCAAUCUGCAGCUGUCGGAACGUGCCUUCGGGCUCAGUACGUCAGCUGUCGAUCGAUUCUAAAACUCAUGUA
Molecule: unclassified non-coding RNA, 474 nt
Filed under: uncultured bacterium
Lineage: Bacteria
Description: 16S-23S ribosomal RNA intergenic spacer
Source: RNAcentral